AAUAGAUACCCGGGUAGUCCACGCCGUAAACGAUGAGUGCUAAGUGUUAGAGGGUUUCCGCCCUUUAGUGCUGCAGCUAACGCAUUAAGCACUCCGCCUGGGGAGUACGGCCGCAAGGCUGAAACUCAAAGGAAUUGACGGGGGCCCGCACAAGCGGUGGAGCAUGUGGUUUAAUUCGAAGCAACGCGAAGAACCUUACCAGGUCUUGACAUCCUCUGACACUCCUAGAGAUAGGACUUUUCCCUUCGGGGAACAGAGUGACAGGUGGUGCAUGGUUGUCGUCAGCUCGUGUCGUGAGAUGUUGGGUUAAGUCCCGCAACGAGCGCAACCCUUGAUCUUAGUUGCCAGCAUUCAGUUGGGCACUCUAAGGUGACUGCCGGUGACAAACCGGAGGAAGGUGGGGAUGACGUCAAAUCAUCAUGCCCCUUAUGACCUGGGCUACACACGUGCUACAAUGGAUGGUACAAAGGGCUGCAAGACCGCGAGGUUUAGCCAAUCCCAUAAAACCAUUCUCAGUUCGGA
Molecule: ribosomal RNA, 522 nt
Filed under: uncultured bacterium
Lineage: Bacteria
Description: bacterial SSU rRNA
Rfam family: Bacterial small subunit ribosomal RNA
Source: RNAcentral